UACGUAGGGGCUAGCGUUAUCCGGAAUUACUGGGCGUGAAGGGUGCGUAGGUGGUUUCUUAAGUCAGAGGUGAAAGGCUACGGCUCAACCGUAGUAAGCCUUUGAAACUGGGAAACUUGAGUGCAGGAGAGGAGAGUGGAAUUCCUAGUGUAGCGGUGAAAUGCGUAGAUAUCCGGAGGAACACCAGUGGCGAAAGCGGCCUUCUAGACCAUUUCUGACGCUAAGACGCGAAAGCUAGGGUAGCAAACGGGAUUAGAUACCCUGGUAGUCCCUGAGCGGGCU
This 282-nucleotide ribosomal RNA is filed under the name uncultured prokaryote. RNAcentral describes it as "partial 16S ribosomal RNA". It matches the Rfam family "Bacterial small subunit ribosomal RNA", at positions 524 to 805 of the family's 1533-position model. The record is from RNAcentral.